This 274-nucleotide ribosomal RNA is filed under the name uncultured bacterium. Its description in RNAcentral is "partial 16S ribosomal RNA". It matches the Rfam family "Bacterial small subunit ribosomal RNA", at positions 523 to 796 of the family's 1533-position model. The record is from RNAcentral.
AUACGGAGGGUGCAAGCGUUGUCCGGAUUUAUUGGGUUUAAAGGGUGCGUAGGUGGUCAAUUAAGUCAGUGGUGAAAUCCUACAGCUUAACUGUAGAACUGCCAUUGAUACUGGUUGACUUGAGUACAGAUGAGGUAGGCGGAAUUUAUGGUGUAGCGGUGAAAUGCAUAGAUACCAUAAAGAACACCGAUAGCGAAGGCAGCUUACUAGACUGUAACUGACACUGAGGCACGAAAGCAUGGGUAGCGAACAGGAUUAGAAACCCCAGUAGUCC